CCUGUACGACCAGUGGCGUGCUUGGAUGCAAAAGUCACACAAAACUCGAAACCAGGACGAGGGGAUCCUGCCCUCGGGCAGACGGGGCGCGGCGAGAGGUCCUGCCGGAUAAACUCUAAGGACAGGCCAUGCUCCCGCCACAUGCAGACGGGGGGGGGGGGGCUCGCCUCACCGAGAGUCUCUGUAUACUGUCACUUUGGGGGAACCGGAGAAACACCACCAGGGGCUGGGGUAGGCGCAGUUAACUCCCACAGCCACAGAUUUGGUCUGCAUGAUGGUCAACCUUGGCUGUACCCAUGUGGUCCUCCAAGAGUCUCUUUAAAUAAAUGACUUGUUCAGGUCCUCUGA
Myodes glareolus (Bank vole) is the source of this 348-nucleotide non-coding RNA. NCBI's taxonomy places the organism in Eukaryota, Metazoa, Chordata, Mammalia, Rodentia, Cricetidae. The record is from RefSeq and is a predicted model, not a curated record.